AGCUCCAAUAGCGUAUAUUAAAGUUGUUGCGGUUAAAAAGCUUGUAGUUGGAUCUCACCUCCUGAACCAAAGUACGUUGGCCGGUGGCUACUGUCCGUUUUCGAACACUAAAGCUCGGCGGAUCGGUUGGGAUGCUCUUCAUCGAGUGUCCUGGGCGGCCGGAAUGUUUUCUUUAUAAAAAUUAGGGUACUCAGAGCAUCCAAGGCGUCUGAAUACUUAUGCAUGGAAUAAUGGAAUAGGACCUCAGUUCUUUUUUGUUGGUUUUAAGAGCCCGAGGUAAUGAUUAAUAUAAACAAACGGGGGCAUUCAUAUUGCCAAGUUAGAGUUGAUAUUUUUGGAUCGUCGCAAGACAAACUAAUGAGAUUCCAUUUGCCAAGAAUGUUUUCA
RNAcentral lists this ribosomal RNA (387 nucleotides) under uncultured eukaryote. RNAcentral's name for it is "SSU rRNA". It matches the Rfam family "Eukaryotic small subunit ribosomal RNA", at positions 587 to 972 of the family's 1831-position model. The record is from RNAcentral.